This 26-nucleotide non-coding RNA is filed under the name Homo sapiens (human). Lineage: Eukaryota; Metazoa; Chordata; Mammalia; Primates; Hominidae. The record is from RNAcentral.
UAGAAGACUGACUCUUUGCUGCUGCC